UAGAUGAUUUAAUGUAAAGCAUACCGAAUGAAGAGAAUGCUUUCAUUGGUAGAGAUUUGAAUGGACAUGUAGGAAAUGAUAGGCAAGGUUAUGAGAAUGUCUAUGGAGGUUUAGGUUUUGAUUUUGGUUUUGGCAGCCGAAAUAAGGAGGAAAAAAGUAUCCUAGGUUUUGCUAUGGUAUACGACCUAAUAUUAGCAAAUACCUAUUUUAUAAAAAG
RNAcentral lists this unclassified non-coding RNA (217 nucleotides) under Hevea brasiliensis (rubber tree). Lineage: Eukaryota; Viridiplantae; Streptophyta; Magnoliopsida; Malpighiales; Euphorbiaceae. The record is from RNAcentral.